GGUAACUCAUUACCAUGGGGAGGGCAUCAAUCCAUUCAUGAGAGAUCCAUCCCCAUAACCCAAACACUCCCAGUAGGCUCUACCUCCAACACUGGGGAUCACAUUUCAACAUGAGAUUUGGAAGGGCCAAAAUAUCCAAACUGUGUCAGAAUCCAAACAUGGGCUGUUUGAUUACGUGGAAAAUUGUCCAGGUUUCCUUAUCGCUCAUGAAACUCUUUUAUAUCCAUCCUACAGAGAGAUGACUCAUGGCCCAGGUGAAAUUCAGGUCCAAGCUCUGGAGAGUGUGUGGGGACUGGUGAAAAGACAUGGUUUUAUUGUUAUCUGUUUAGUUCCUGCUGCGGAAGAUGAGACUCUCGCUCUCUUUGUCAUUUCCCCACAUGCACAGAAACACACAUAUUUCUACUUUUCUCAUCCUCUCAACAGGCUAUCAUAACUUUGGUUAAAUCAAUAGUCAGUGUUUGUAUAUUAUUAUUGGAUAAAUAUUACUUACAGUGGAACCCAUUUUGUGUAUGAUUAGAUAUUCUUUCUUGUAGAACUUUAUGUUUAUCCAGGAGUUAAUACUUAUCUGAUUAUUUUCAGUUGCUUAAUGUCCUAUACACCUGUUAUUAAUUUAUGCUGAACUCUCCAACAGAAACUGAAAUCUUGUCUUACUAUGUUUAAACACAUUGGGUAUUCUACAAGUUUCUUUUCUUAUUUAUGUAUAAUUCUCCUAGGGCUUUCCAUCUUCCUGCUCUAGUCUAAACUGGUUGUUCUCUAGGCCAGUGGCAAUGUUAUCAUCCUGAUAUUCUCCUUCACCAUCAGCCUGGGAGUUCUGUUGGUUUUUCUCCUGUAUGGAAUCCUCUAUUUCCUGUUAUUUUUAAAAACUUGGUGUCAACCCUAAUUUUCAUGGGUAUAUUUAUGCAAUAACUUUUCAGAAAAAGAUACAAAAAAAGCAACAUUUUUUUUCCUGUGAUUUUGCUUACUUGAAAAUAUCUUUAUUCCAUGGGUCAGCCAACUAUAGGCUGUAGGCUAAAAUCCUCCCAUUUUAGUGAAUAAGGUUUUAUUAGAAUACAGCCACAUCCAUUUGUUUACUUAUUAUAUAUUAUGCCACAAUGGAAGAUUUGAGAAAUUGCAAUAAAGAACAUUUAGAUGAUAAAAUCUACAACAUUUAUUAUCUGGACCUUUACGAAGCAAAUAUUUGCUAACACUUGCUUUAUUCUAUGUUCACACAAAAUUGUUAAUUUUGCUAGAUAUAGAAUUUUAAAGGGCUUUUUUUUUAUCUUCUAGCUUCCAGAGUGAAUGUUUAAUAGCCUUACAACAUUCUGAUUCCUAAUCCUUUAUAUAAAAACUGUUAUUUUGUUUGUUUUUGGAAGCUUCUGAAACCUUCUCCUUGUUCUUGGUAUGAACACUUGUUUUUCUAAUGCAAUAAACACAUGAUGAACCCACUCAACAUAAAA
This 1436-nucleotide long non-coding RNA is filed under the name Homo sapiens (human). RNAcentral describes it as "HSALNT0394003". The record is from RNAcentral. Lineage: Eukaryota; Metazoa; Chordata; Mammalia; Primates; Hominidae.